UGCUGAAGGGCUCCUGCUCCCCACAGUUUAAAGGAGAGAAACCUGCUGGUGUUAGCUGCAGCCCAGGCAGAGGUGAGAGAGCGACAGGAGGUCAAAGACGAGAUAGGAGAGGUGGAGCAACAGGUGGCGGCCGUUCUUUCCUCACUGGGACAUCAGGUCAGGCUCCUCCGUUGCUGAGAAUGUCACUUUUCACCUUUUGGCAAAAUAGGGAUCCUUGCAGGUCUAACUGUGUUGAAAAUCCCCGUUUCUUUUCAAUUUCUGCAGGAAUUCAGAGAAGAGUUGUCGUCUCAGAGGGCCAAACUAGAGCGCAUCAGAGAGAGGGCGCAAAUCCGCUACCCUGUGAUACCGGCUGAUAUCUGCAGAAGACUAGACGAAGCUCAUCUGUCCAUUCAAAAGGAAGAGGAGAGGGUAACUGAUACCACCUUUCCUGUUGCUUAUACUUUUACGAUGCAUCAAACACAGGUAUAUUUUCUAUAGUCUGAGACUACCUCCAAAUAUUUUCCUUGUGCAGUAAUCUAGAUGAUUGGGACAACUGAAUGUUUGGGUAGCUCAUUAAUGUGUUUUCAUAAAGCUCACAGGGAAGAAAAACCCAGUUUGGAAGCUGGACACUCAAGUGGCUGAGCUGGAAUCUAGCCUGGAGACCGUGAAGGUGUUACUGGAGCAGCAGAGCCCAACAGUGGACGAAGCACAACAUCUACUCAAGGUGUCCCUUCGUCCGUGUGUCAUUCUGUACCCGAUAACGUUCUUCUCUUCAAUAACAGCUUCAUAUCGACAGAUCGUGCACAUCAGACCCUCUUUUUCUUGUUCCCCAGCAUGUGUGGGAUAAGCUGGAUGCUUGGCAUAGCCGCUUGAUGCUCCUGGAAAAUGAGGUGGAGGAUCUUGCAGAGGAUCACCCUGAUCAAGCCCACAUACUCGUGGACCAACUCACGCGGCCGCUGCAGCUCUACCAGAACGCAGCGCAGAUGGCCGAACAACGCACGGCCUUCCUGGGAAAGAUCCCCGCCUGUCUUCAGGAGUUUGACGGUAUACUGUACAGUGCCACCUGCUGGUUGGAGGAGGCACAGUCAUGGCUCUAUGCCCCCUGCAGCUUCACAACAGCCAAAAACCUGCAGAACCACGCGAACUCCCUUCAGGUCUAGAACAAUAACCCACACACACACACACACACACAUUAUAGACACAAUCCUCGAAGCCAAACCAACCCAACUAACCUCCUUACCCUAACCUGAACAAGUCUUGACCCUCAAACUGUCCUUCGAGGUUGUGGAUCCUAUAAAAUGUCCCUUUGCUGAAUUGCUGACUUUGGUUUGGGAACUGGUCUGCAGCUGGUGCUGGAUGAUUCGGAGCGGAUCAGACUCGUCAUGCAGGACUUCAGGGCAGUCCUAGAUGACAUCUGCUCCGUGUGCAACAUGAGCUGGCAGAAGGACAGGCUGCAGCAGAGCGACCAGCAAGUCCACAAAAUGCAGCGUACCAUCCUGGAGCAGCUGGAGCUUUUUGUUCAGGCUGUUCAGGUAAAACAAUCAGCAUCGGGUUUCGGCCAUAGUUGGAUGUUUCGGGUAGAAACGACGCUGGCAAUGAAAAUAUUGACAUGUGACAUCUACGUUUUAGGAGGUGGAGGCCAUGGAAGAAGAGGUGAAGACCUUGGACAACAACGUUGCUAAGAUUCAAGCUAUUUUGUCGUCUGUUGACAACUCCAGCUUAAGUCUAAGGGAGCAACAGGUGAUUGUGUGCUGCUACUGAUCACUGAUUCAAAGCCUCCGAUACAGAUGGAACACCUAAGGGUCAGUUACAUUCUUCUCUUACAUGUUGAAGGUCAUUCUAACCAACAUGGCGUCCAUACGAAGGACGCUGGAGGAGGUGGAGAGCUGCAAAGGAGAACUUCACCUCCCUCAGGGAGCAGAGGAGAGCCUGCUGAUCUUCUCCAGAGCUCAACAGCUCCUGCAGACAGUCCAGGAGCUGGAGCAGCUCACCGAGCAACAGUCCAUGCAGCUGCAGGUACUUGUGCCUUUACGGGAAAACAUACAUGACAGGUGCACAAAAUAUCCAUCAGAUUUGAUUUGUAGGUGUGAAAAUGGGAUUU
Takifugu rubripes (torafugu) is the source of this 2080-nucleotide long non-coding RNA. The record is from Ensembl. NCBI's taxonomy places the organism in Eukaryota, Metazoa, Chordata, Actinopteri, Tetraodontiformes, Tetraodontidae.